AUGCUUGCUUUGGUAGCACAUGUACUAGAGUUGGAACAAUAGAGAGAUGGGCAUGGCCUCUGUGCAAGAAAGACAUGCAAAUUGUGAAGCAUUCCUUUUUUAA
Molecule: small nuclear RNA, 103 nt
Organism: Piliocolobus tephrosceles (Ugandan red Colobus)
Lineage: Eukaryota; Metazoa; Chordata; Mammalia; Primates; Cercopithecidae
Source: Ensembl